This 352-nucleotide unclassified non-coding RNA is filed under the name soil metagenome. RNAcentral's name for it is "partial contains 5.8S ribosomal RNA, internal transcribed spacer 2, and large subunit ribosomal RNA". The stretch from base 1 to 120 matches the Rfam family "5.8S ribosomal RNA", at positions 35 to 154 of the family's 154-position model. The record is from RNAcentral.
GAUGAAGAACGUAGCGAAAUGCGAUAAGUAAUGUGAAUUGCAGAAUUCAGUGAAUCAUCGAAUCUUUGAACGCACAUUGCGCCCGCCAGUAUUCUGGCGGGCAUGCCUGUUCGAGCGUCAUUUCAACCCUCAGGCCCCCAGUGCCUGGUGUUGGGGAUCGGCCCAGCCUUCCUGUAAGGCCGCCGGCCCCGAAAUCUAGUGGCGGUCUCGCUGUAGUCCUCCUCUGCGUAGUAGCACAACCUCGCAGGUGGAACGCGGCGGUGGCCAUGCCGUUAAACACCCCACUUCUGAAAGUUGACCUCGGAUCAGGUAGGAAUACCCGCUGAACUUAAGCAUAUCAAUAAGCGGAGUA